AUGUUGAUUCAACAGUUGGAGCCACUAGCUGAGCAACAAAUAAUGGGGAUGUAUGGCUUGAGGCAUUCCUCACAGCAAGCAGAAGAAGCACUCUCUCAGGGCCUUGAGCAGUUGCAACAGUCUCUUGUGGACACCAUAGCUGGAGGCCCAGUUGUUGAUGGUGUUCAACAAAUGGUCCUUGCCAUGAGCAAGCUUGCCAAUCUUGAAGGAUUUGUUCGCCAGGUAAAUUAACUUUUAAAUUGCACCUGCAUUUAGCAACACAUUCUUUAAUAUUUUUUUAUAUAAAUAAUAUAUUUAAAAGAAUAUAUUGUUAUUUUUUUUUUAACUUUUUGCUUAUUUUGACUUGAGUGAUCACAUUUUUCUUUUUCUUCUUGGGUGAGUUAAAUACUUUUACAAGUACAAAAUUUGGUGGUGAGGUUGACGUAAAGCCUCAUAGUGACCCGACAUCUGUGGGUGUUGCAAUUUCUGUUUGACUAAUGAUUUCGUAAGCUUUUGUCAAAAUUAGAUUUGAAUGUGCGUGUGACUUGUCAAUUUUAAUUAUUUGGGUUUAGAUACUAAUUAUAAACUUCAUAGUUGAAAACGGAAGCCACGUUAAUUAGACUAGGGCAAUUGCUUCUUUUACCUUCUUUUGACUUUUGAUUUUUUUUUCAUAGGAUAGUUAUGACACUUUAUUAUGCUUUAACUGUUUUCAUUUUUUGCUUUGUUAUAUAUGAAUAUACAAAUAACUAGCUAGGUCUUAAUUAAUUAUCUUCACUUCUUGGUCGUCACGUCUCUCUAAGUAUAUAUUGUUUCCUGGCACAUUAGUUAAAUAAGCGGAGAUAUGUAUUGCUUUCGAUUGCUUAUAAGUUAUAACGUUCUCGUUCAUCAAAAUAUUGGAUUCUAGUUCUAGGCAUUUGAUGUACUUUUUCCAUUUUAAAAUGUCUUAGUCAGAAGUUGGUUUUAGAAAGCGAUGGCUAAUGUUGAAUCAUAAACCCUCGGUAGAAUUAUCAUCAUUGCUAUUUUAAAAGACAAUUUCUCAAGUGUUUUCUAAUUUUUUUGAGGAAUUUAUAAUUAAUUAAAUUCUAGGGUUAUAGAAGAAAAUAAAAUGCAUUACUUUAUUCAAUAAUUAGCAACUGUCAAUUAAGUUUAUUGAUAAGACUACCUCACCAAAUAUUGUAUAAUUGUUAAAUUAUUUAACAAUCCCAGAAUCUGAAUUGGAUAAUUAAUUUUAUAAUUGUUAAAUUUAAUAUAAUAAUAUUUUAAUUUUAAUUUAACGGCUUAUAUACAAUAUCACUCGCUAUAUUACAUAUUCUUAAUAAAGUAUUGUAACAUUUUUUUUUUAGAAUACACAAGAGCUUUCUCUUAUAGGAGAGCCAUCUUAUAUGGUAGCAGGUGGGGAUUAAUUCCUUGUUCGAUACAAGAUACUGGUUAAGCAAGAAUUAAUGCUACACUUUUUUGUUGUUGUUGAGACACUGUGCUGUUGAAACUUGCAAGAGAUGCAAAAGAUAAAUAUUAACCUUUGAAUUAUAUAUAAAUAAUUAAAAUUAAAACCUUAAAUCUCACAUGAUUAUUUUAAAAUUUAGAUGAAUCUAUAUUUUAAUUUCAAAUUUUUUUUAUUAAUAUAUGCAGACAUAGAGUCAUAGACAAAUGCAUCAAUUCUUAACUUAUUAACUUCCAUAAACUUUUAUGAAUUAAAGGCUGAUAAUUUGAGGCAGCAAACUCUUCAUCAGCUAUGUCGAUUACUCACAGUUCGUCAAGCCGCACGAUGCUUCAUUGUUAUUGGAGAGUACUAUGGACGUCUUCGUGCCCUUAGUUCUCUUUGGGCAUCAAGACCACGAGAGUAAGUUAGAAUUUAUUUACUUAUUAUUAUUAUUUAAUCGGAAAAUAGUUUUAAAGAUAGAAGAAUGAAGUACUUUCUAAUUUCAUUGAGUCACCGGUUUUUUCUUUAUGGAGCAAAGAAUUGCCAUAAUAUACCAUUUUUCGUUUUUCUUUGAUGUUUAUACUUCAUACCACUUUUAGAGGUAAAAAAUAAUAAUUAGUUGGAGUAUUUGAUUGCUUCCGCCAUAUUCUUUCUUCUUAUUGACAUUUUGAUUUUAUUUUAAGUUUAUAUGUAUAUAACUUCUAUUAUGGUCCAUAUACACUAAUUUUCUUUUGGGAUAUUCAAACAGGACCUUGAUCAGCGACGAUAACUCAUGUCAAACAACUACGGAAAUGCAAAUAGUCCAACAUUCUCAGAAUUAUUUCUCAAGUUUCUGAGAGAUAUAAUUAAAACCCAUUAGCCUGAAAGAAGCUUCCUAGCCAUAAUUAAGUGGAUUUCGUUG
RNAcentral lists this long non-coding RNA (2300 nucleotides) under Glycine max (soybean). Its description in RNAcentral is "long non-coding RNA (GMAX_LNC003040)". Lineage: Eukaryota; Viridiplantae; Streptophyta; Magnoliopsida; Fabales; Fabaceae. The record is from RNAcentral.